CGCGCGCAGGCGGUCCUUUAAGUCUGAUGUGAAAGCCCACGGCUCCACCGUGGAGGGUCAUUGGAAACUGGGGGACUUGAGUGCAGAAGAGGAAAGCGGAAUUCCACGUGUAGCGGUGAAAUGCGUAAAGAUGUGGAGGAACACCAGUGGCGAAGGCGGCCUUCUGGUCUGUAACUGACGCUGAGGUGCGAAAGCGUGGGGAGCAAACAGGAUUAAAUACCCUGGUAGUCCACGCCGUAAACGAUGAGUGCUAUGUGUUAGAGGCUUUCCGCCCUUUACUGCUGCAACUAACGCAUUAAGCACUCCGCCUGGGGAGUACGGCCGCAAG
RNAcentral lists this ribosomal RNA (328 nucleotides) under Neobacillus pocheonensis. RNAcentral describes it as "bacterial SSU rRNA". It matches the Rfam family "Bacterial small subunit ribosomal RNA", at positions 566 to 892 of the family's 1533-position model. Lineage: Bacteria; Bacillati; Bacillota; Bacilli; Caryophanales; Bacillaceae. The record is from RNAcentral.